RNAcentral lists this ribosomal RNA (514 nucleotides) under uncultured bacterium. Its description in RNAcentral is "partial 16S ribosomal RNA". It matches the Rfam family "Bacterial small subunit ribosomal RNA", at positions 28 to 523 of the family's 1533-position model. The record is from RNAcentral.
GAUGAACGCUGGCGGCGUGCCUAAUACAUGCAAGUCGAGCGAACAGAUGAGAAGCUUGCUUCUCUGAUGUUAGCGGCGGACGGGUGAGUAACACGUGGGUAACCUACCUAUAAGACAGGGAUAACUCCGGGAAACCGGGGCUAAUACCGGAUAAUAUUUUGAACCGCAUGGUUCAAUAGUGAAAGACGGUUUCGGCUGUCACUUAUAGAUGGACCCGCGCCGUAUUAGCUAGUUGGUAAGGUAACGGCUUACCAAGACGACGAUACGUAGCCGACCUGAGAGGGGGAUCGGCCACACUGGAACUGAGACACGGUCCAGACUCCUACGGGAGGCAGCAGUAGGGAAUCUUCCGCAAUGGGCGAAAGCCUGACGGAGCAACGCCGCGUGAGUGAUGAAGGUCUUCGGAUCGUAAAACUCUGUUGUUAGGGAAGAACAAAUUUGUUAGUAACUGAACAAGUCUUGACGGUACCUAACCAGAAAGCCACGGCUAACUACGUGCCAGCCGCCGCCGUAA